This 495-nucleotide ribosomal RNA is filed under the name uncultured bacterium. Its description in RNAcentral is "partial 16S ribosomal RNA". It matches the Rfam family "Bacterial small subunit ribosomal RNA", at positions 28 to 507 of the family's 1533-position model. The record is from RNAcentral.
GACGAACGCUGGCGGCGUGCCUAAUACAUGCAAGUAGAACGCUGAAGGAGGAGCUUGCUCUUCUGGAUGAGUUGCGAACGGGUGAGUAACGCGUAGGUAACCUGCCUGGUAGCGGGGGAUAACUAUUGGAAACGAUAGCUAAUACCGCAUAAGAGUAGAUGUUGCAUGACAUUUGCUUAAAAGGUGCAAUUGCAUCACUACCAGAUGGACCUGCGUUGUAUUAGCUAGUUGGUGGGGUAACGGCUCACCAAGGCGACCAUACAUAGCCGACCUGAGAGGGUGAUCGGCCACACUGUGUCUGAGACACGGCCCAGACUCCUACGGGAGGCAGCAGUAGGGAAUCCUCGGCAAUGGACGGAAGUCUGACCGAGCAACGCCGCGUGAGUGAAGAAGGUUUUCGGAUCGUAAAGCUCUGUUGUAAGAGAAGAACGAGUGUGAGAGUGGAAAGUUCACGCUGUGACGGUAUCUUACCAGAAAGGGACGGCUAACUACGUG